RNAcentral lists this ribosomal RNA (276 nucleotides) under uncultured prokaryote. Its description in RNAcentral is "partial 16S ribosomal RNA". It matches the Rfam family "Bacterial small subunit ribosomal RNA", at positions 524 to 800 of the family's 1533-position model. The record is from RNAcentral.
CACGGGGGUUGCGAGCGUUGUCCGGAAUUACUAGGCGUAAAGGGCAGGCAGGCGGAUCCAUAAGUUUAUCGUUUAAGGCGUCGGCUUAACCGGCGUAGGGCGGUAGAUACUGUGGAUCUGGAAUGCGGUUGGGGAAGACAGAAUUCCUGGUGUAGCGGUGGAAUGCGCAGAGAUCAGGAGGAAUACCGAAGGCGAAGGCAGUCUUCCAAGCCGUUAUUGACGCUCAACUGCGUAGGUGUGGGUAUCAAACAGGAUUAGAUACCCUGUAGUCCCUGA